GGGUUGUGAGGUUAAGCGACUAAGCGUACACGGUGGAUGCCCUGGCAGUCAGAGGCGAUGAAGGGCGUGCUAAUCUGCGAUAAGCGCCGGUAAGGUGAUAUGAACCGUUAUAACCGGCGAUACCCGAAUGGGGAAACCCAGUGUGACUCGUCACACUAUCAUUAACUGAAUCCAUAGGUUAAUGAGGCGAACCGGGGGAACUGAAACAUCUAAGUACCCCGAGGAAAAGAAAUCAACCGAGAUUCCCCCAGUAGCGGCGAGCGAACGGGGAGGAGCCCAGAGCCUGAAUCAGCAUGUGUGUUAGUGGAAGCGUCUGGAAAGGCGCGCGAUACAGGGUGACAGCCCCGUACACAAAAGCGCAUGUGCUGUGAGCUCGAUGAGUAGGGCGGGACACGUGGUAUCCUGUCUGAAUAUGGGGGGACCAUCCUCCAAGGCUAAAUACUCCUGACUGACCGAUAGUGAACCAGUACCGUGAGGGAAAGGCGAAAAGAACCCCGGCGAGGGGAGUGAAAAAGAACCUGAAACCGUGUACGUACAAGCAGUGGGAGCACAGGUUUACCUGUGUGACUGCGUACCUUUUGUAUAAUGGGUCAGCGACUUAUAUUCUGUAGCAAGGUUAACCGAAUAGGGGAGCCGGAGGGAAACCGAGUCUUAAUUGGGCGUUAAGUUGCAGGGUAUAGACCCGAAACCCGGUGAUCUAGCCAUGGGCAGGUUGAAGGUUGGGUAACACUAACUGGAGGACCGAACCGACUAAUGUUGAAAAAUUAGCGGAUGACCUGUGGCUGGGGGUGAAAGGCCAAUCAAACCGGGAGAUAGCUGGUUCUCCCCGAAAGCUAUUUAGGUAGCGCCUCGUGAAUUCAUCUCCGGGGGUAGAGCACUGUUUCGGCUAGGGGGCCAUCCCGGCUUACCAACCCGAUGCAAACUGCGAAUACCGGAGAAUGUUAUCACGGGAGACACACGGCGGGUGCUAACGUCCGUCGUGAAGAGGGAAACAACCCAGACCGCCAGCUAAGGUCCCAAAGUCAUGGUUAAGUGGGAAACGAUGUGGGAAGGCCCAGACAGCCAGGAUGUUGGCUUAGAAGCAGCCAUCAUUUAAAGAAAGCGUAAUAGCUCACUGGUCGAGUCGGCCUGCGCGGAAGAUGUAACGGGGCUAAACCAUGCACCGAAGCUGCGGCAGCGAACGUAUCACUUAAAGCGAUUCAGCGGGUUACGAUUGACGGAGCGAAGCGACGUCAAAGCGUAUACAAAGUCGAGUCGGUUUAAGGAUACGUUCGUUGGGUAGGGGAGCGUUCUGUAAGCCUGUGAAGGUGGCCUGUGAGGGUUGCUGGAGGUAUCAGAAGUGCGAAUGCUGACAUAAGUAACGAUAAAGCGGGUGAAAAGCCCGCUCGCCGGAAGACCAAGGGUUCCUGUCCAACGUUAAUCGGGGCAGGGUGAGUCGACCCCUAAGGCGAGGCCGAAAGGCGUAGUCGAUGGGAAACGGGUUAAUAUUCCCGUACUUGGUGUUACUGCGAAGGGGGGACGGAGAAGGCUAUGUUGGCCGGGCGACGGUUGUCCCGGUUUAAGCGUGUAGGCUGGUUUUCCAGGCAAAUCCGGAAAAUCAAGGCUGAGGCGUGACGACGAGGCACUACGGUGCUGAAGCAACAAAUGCCCUGCUUCCAGGAAAAGCCUCUAAGCAUCAGGUAACAUCAAAUCGUACCCCAAACCGACACAGGUGGUCAGGUAGAGAAUACCAAGGCGCUUGAGAGAACUCGGGUGAAGGAACUAGGCAAAAUGGUGCCGUAACUUCGGGAGAAGGCACGCUGACACGUAGGUGAAGUGAUUUACUCACGGAGCUGAAGUCAGUCGAAGAUACCAGCUGGCUGCAACUGUUUAUUAAAAACACAGCACUGUGCAAACACGAAAGUGGACGUAUACGGUGUGACGCCUGCCCGGUGCCGGAAGGUUAAUUGAUGGGGUCAGCGCAAGCGAAGCUCCUGAUCGAAGCCCCGGUAAACGGCGGCCGUAACUAUAACGGUCCUAAGGUAGCGAAAUUCCUUGUCGGGUAAGUUCCGACCUGCACGAAUGGCGUAAUGAUGGCCAGGCUGUCUCCACCCGAGACUCAGUGAAAUUGAACUCGCUGUGAAGAUGCAGUGUACCCGCGGCAAGACGGAAAGACCCCGUGAACCUUUACUAUAGCUUGACACUGAACAUUGAGCCUUGAUGUGUAGGAUAGGUGGGAGGCUUUGAAGUGUGGACGCCAGUCUGCAUGGAGCCGACCUUGAAAUACCACCCUUUAAUGUUUGAUGUUCUAACGUGGACCCGUAAUCCGGGUUGCGGACAGUGUCUGGUGGGUAGUUUGACUGGGGCGGUCUCCUCCUAAAGAGUAACGGAGGAGCACGAAGGUUGGCUAAUCCUGGUCGGACAUCAGGAGGUUAGUGCAAUGGCAUAAGCCAGCUUGACUGCGAGCGUGACGGCGCGAGCAGGUGCGAAAGCAGGUCAUAGUGAUCCGGUGGUUCUGAAUGGAAGGGCCAUCGCUCAACGGAUAAAAGGUACUCCGGGGAUAACAGGCUGAUACCGCCCAAGAGUUCAUAUCGACGGCGGUGUUUGGCACCUCGAUGUCGGCUCAUCACAUCCUGGGGCUGAAGUAGGUCCCAAGGGUAUGGCUGUUCGCCAUUUAAAGUGGUACGCGAGCUGGGUUUAGAACGUCGUGAGACAGUUCGGUCCCUAUCUGCCGUGGGCGCUGGAGAACUGAGGGGGGCUGCUCCUAGUACGAGAGGACCGGAGUGGACGCAUCACUGGUGUUCGGGUUGUCAUGCCAAUGGCACUGCCCGGUAGCUAAAUGCGGAAGAGAUAAGUGCUGAAAGCAUCUAAGCACGAAACUUGCCCCGAGAUGAGUUCUCCCUGAGACUUAGAGUCUCCUGAAGGAACGUUGAAGACGACGACGUUGAUAGGCCGGGUGUGUAAGCGCAGCGAUGCGUUGAGCUAACCGGUACUAAUGAACCGUGAGGCUUAACCUUACAACGCCGAAG
This 3008-nucleotide ribosomal RNA is filed under the name Salmonella enterica subsp. enterica serovar Kentucky. RNAcentral's name for it is "23S ribosomal RNA". It matches the Rfam family "Bacterial large subunit ribosomal RNA". Lineage: Bacteria; Pseudomonadati; Pseudomonadota; Gammaproteobacteria; Enterobacterales; Enterobacteriaceae. The record is from RNAcentral.